RNAcentral lists this long non-coding RNA (389 nucleotides) under Glycine max (soybean). RNAcentral's name for it is "long non-coding RNA (GMAX_LNC000900)". Lineage: Eukaryota; Viridiplantae; Streptophyta; Magnoliopsida; Fabales; Fabaceae. The record is from RNAcentral.
AAUAUAGGCAGGCUGGAGUGAUAAACAGUGCUGAUAAUUGUCACCUGUCAGUAUCCCAGGACAGGUCACUUUUAUUUGUUCAAUCACUACAGUCCACAGGCAAGAAAUGAUAAAAAACUUCGUACCCCAUUGCCCAGAGGCUCUUCGCUAUGCGAAGGUAUGGGGGAGGGAUGUUGUACACAGCCUUACCCUUGCAUAUGCAAAGAGGCUGUUUCUGGAUUCGAACCCAUGACCAACAAGUCACCAAGGCAAGAAAUGAUAGUGAAAGACAAAUUCAUUUGGUCUUGUACUUCAAAAUUCAAACUAUGUUGAAAUUAAGUAUGCAGACUUUUUCAACUUUUCAUAGUGUCUUGAUCAUCCACCAAAACUUGUUGGGAGCAUCAUAACUG